CAAACAUGUAUACAUUUUGAUUAUAAAAAGACCUGCUCAUUCUGGGCUUUGAAGUCAAGGAGGCGGUCCUUUCAGUGAUUGACAGCCAUAUCUGUAUACACAGUCAUAGAAGCGAGGAUAUCAAUCACUGAUGGGAUCAACUACUGGACUUUAAAGC
Molecule: long non-coding RNA, 157 nt
Organism: Bufo bufo (common toad)
Lineage: Eukaryota; Metazoa; Chordata; Amphibia; Anura; Bufonidae
Exons: 3
Source: RefSeq, a predicted model, not a curated record